UACAGAGGGUGCAAGCGUUAAUCGGAAUUACUGGGCGUAAAGCGUGCGUAGACGGUUAUGUAAGUCAGAUGUGAAAGCCCCGGGCUCAACCUGGGAAUUGCAUUUGAGACUGCAUAGCUAGGGUGCGGAAGAGGGAAGCGGAAUUUCCGGUGUAGCGGUGAAAUGCGUAGAUAUCGGAAGGAACACCAGAGGCGAAAGCGGCGACCUGGACAGGUACUGACACUCAACUACGAAAGCGUGGGGAGCAAACAGG
Molecule: ribosomal RNA, 253 nt
Filed under: uncultured bacterium
Lineage: Bacteria
Description: partial 16S ribosomal RNA
Rfam family: Bacterial small subunit ribosomal RNA
Source: RNAcentral